Molecule: ribosomal RNA, 1149 nt
Filed under: Triticum aestivum (bread wheat)
Lineage: Eukaryota; Viridiplantae; Streptophyta; Magnoliopsida; Poales; Poaceae
Description: partial small subunit ribosomal RNA
Source: RNAcentral
AUGUAUACGCUGCCAUGCCCUAUCAGUAGGCACGGAGGUUCAGAUUUUGCAUACUGGCAUGUUACCAGGUUGGGGGAUUAUUCUGUUCGUUCGGCAUACAACAUGGCUCGGACGAAACGAUUCCUGGAAAGAAAUAGUAAUAGCGGUCGUGGCCAAUCCUCUAACAGAGCGGCGGAGGAGAAGGAGUGGAAAUCUAUAUGGUCUGUUAUUGCACCUAACAAGAUGAAGAUCGUCUUAUGGCGUUUUGCACAUAACUGUUUGCCUUCUGGGGAACAGCUCUGUAGACGCAAGGUUCCUGCUCCUGCUGCAUGUGCUUUCUGCGGCCGGCUGGAGACUAUCGAGCAUGCCUUGCUCUUCUACCAUUUUGCAAGAAAUGUGUGGGAUGAAGUGAAGAAUUUCUUUCAUGUCCAGCUGCGCCGUGGUGAAUUCAGGUCUCCAAAACAGUGGAUUUUUGAUUUCUUAUCUCGAUGCUCCGCUCGUGAGGCAACUGUGAUGACUGUAACCAUUUGGCACAUUUGGGAUGCUCGAAACUCGGCUCGAAACACUCCUGAAGGUCCUAUUCCAAGAAGCAAUGCAGGCAAAAUUCGUAGUUAUGUUCAGAUGAUUUUUGAACAUGCUUACAAACCUGUUCCUGUGAAUAGAUGUGAGACUAUUGCUUCCAGCUCAAAUUGGUCUCCAUCGCCUCCAGGUACAGUUAUGCUAUUUUCUGAUGCAGCUUUAUUUCAUAACUCCAACAAGUCUGGUGCUGGUGUAGUAGCUCUGAACCAUAUGGGUCAUUGUAUCAAGGCGUGUACUGAUGUGUUGCCUGGUGCACUCACCCCCGAGAUGGCUGAAGCUUUGGCUCUUCGCAUAGCAGUUGACAUGGCACGUCAAGAACACUUUUCUCAUGUGAUCUUUGCCACUGAUUGCCUUUCUUUGAUGCAAAGGCUGAAAUCCAAAGCCCAAGAUCGUUCUGUGGUUGGUUCCAUCGUGGCUGAUAUCAAGCUGGCAACUCUGGGCUUCUCCUCAUUCUCUUUUGUGCAUGUUCGUCGGCCAUGUAAUGUGUUGGCUCAUGUUUUAGCUAGGUCUUGUUAUAAUUCUACUGGUCUUUGUGUUUUCAACUAUGCUCCGGAGUGUAUCCGGGAGACUUUGUAUGACUUUGUUGUUUAG